UAUAAAAAGGAGGGGGUGUGUGCAUUAGGAAGCAUGAGAGGCUAAGAUGCAAUUUAGAGAAAAUUGCAACUUUGGGCCCAAAGGUUUGAAUAAUUAAAUUCAAACCUAUAGUUUUUUUUAAUAUAAUUUUGGGACUCACAAUCCCAUUUUUAUAUUAUUUUUCUCUCUUCCUCUCACGUUGCUCGGCGUUUUCUCGCAAGGGGGGAUUAUUUUCUUUUUUCUUCAGAUUAUAUUGACAAAGAUAGUGGUGAAAAAGGAGUUGUGAAGGGGAACUUGUUAUUCAAGACACAAGGAGCGAGUCCGGCCGAGAAAGCACCAGAGGUGUAAUUAUGGUGUAUGAGACACCAUCUUUUACGUUGCCUCUUAUUUUAGAUUAUACAAUGUAUCUUGUGCCAACUUAGGACAUAUCUUCUUUGUGAAGCAUGUAAACUCUAAUCCUUUUUAUUAAAAGUAUUUAUAUGACCAAGAGGAUUAUGUCUGUCGCUCUUGAUUUAUGAUCUGA
Long non-coding RNA from Prosopis cineraria, 502 nucleotides. RefSeq lists it as uncharacterized. The record is from RefSeq and is a predicted model, not a curated record. Lineage: Eukaryota; Viridiplantae; Streptophyta; Magnoliopsida; Fabales; Fabaceae. The transcript is spliced from 3 exons.